Molecule: long non-coding RNA, 164 nt
Organism: Mustela erminea (ermine)
Lineage: Eukaryota; Metazoa; Chordata; Mammalia; Carnivora; Mustelidae
Exons: 3
Source: RefSeq, a predicted model, not a curated record
GGGUAUUAUGCUAAGUGAAAUAAGUCAAUCAGAGAAAGACAAUUAUCAUAUGAUCUCUCUGAUAUGAGGGACUUGAGAGGCAAGGCGGGGGGCAGUUGGGACGUAGGGAAGGAAAAAAAUGAAACAAGAUGGGAUCAGGAAGGAGACAAACCUUAAGAGACUCU